GGUCAUGGCCCAUCUUCCGAAGAUAGUAGAUGAAAUUCAGGUGGCUAACUCCCAAAGCUCAGAAUGGAAGCUUAAGAAAGAGAAAUCGGCAGAGAAGGAAGUCGAGAUAUUGACCAAAUUUGCUCCACUCGAGGGGUUCUCAAUUUAACCUUUGUGUUGUACAUUGUGUCUUCAUGUUGAUCCUACAUCUACUGUUACAUUCAUGUUUUUAACCCUCAGGAAUUUGAUCUACCCUUCCUUGCCAUUAGGGGUUUUCUUGUAGGUCAUCUAGUUUUCAUUAUCUCUUAUCCAUAGAGACGCAGAAAGGUGGGAGGAUCUUUGAUCCUUUAUUUUGUUUGAUCUAUGUAGAACUCUUUUCUUUUUCAUCCUAUGUAGGACUCUUUCAGUGUGAUCUUUCUGCUGUUUUAAUAAGAAAUGUUUAGGAGAACUAGCCAGAAGUGAGAGGCAGCUGAUUUGCAAUCAAGAUGCCACAACAAAAACAUCAUUAUUGUGUAUCGAGGGUAUGGUUUUGUGGUCAAUGACGCGAAUUGAGAGUUAUGAGUUUUCAGGUUCAAACUCCCGCUUCCAUAGGGGCCUGAACUUCACUCUAUCCCAACCUUUUGGUGGUUGUAAUAAAAUGAUGGGAUACACAAAGUGGAGAGAUGGAUUAGGAGCCCUUUAUAUAGUUUAUUAAAACAAAAUCAAUUUUUUUAAUUUUACCUAUAUAUAAGGCACAAUGAAGCAGCUGAAGCUGGCUGCUCAUAGUCAACAUGUCUGCUUCAAUGAUUUUACUAUAUUUAAAGUAGCCUGUUUUUGUUUCAAUCGUGAUUUUACUAUAUUAUCCUUGAAUAAUUAUUAUAAGUCAUUCAGCUGCUUCAAUCGUGAUUUUACUAUAUCACUUAUAAUUAAUUAUUCGAGAUAUUGACCAAAUUUGCUCCACUCGAGGGGUUCUCAAUUUAACCUUUGUGUUGUACAUUGUGUCUUCAUGUUGAUCCUACAUCUACUGUUACAUUCAUGUUUUUAACCCUCAGGAAUUUGAUCUACCCUUCCUUGCCAUUAGGGGUUUUCUUGUAGGUCAUCUAGUUUUCAUUAUCUCUUAUCCAUAGAGACG
Molecule: long non-coding RNA, 1090 nt
Filed under: Capsicum annuum
Lineage: Eukaryota; Viridiplantae; Streptophyta; Magnoliopsida; Solanales; Solanaceae
Description: long non-coding RNA (CANN_LNC005603)
Source: RNAcentral